AUUGCAGGCUGAAACUCGCCUGUAUGAAGAUGGAGUUGCUAGUAAUCGCGAAUCAGAAUGUCGCGGUGAAUACGUUCCCGGGUCUUGUACACACCGCCCGUCACACCAUGAGAGUUGGCAACACCCGAAACCUGUGGGCUAACCGAAAGGAGGCAGCAGUCUAAGGUGGGGUCAGUGAUUGGGGUGAAGUCGUAACAAGGUAUC
This 204-nucleotide ribosomal RNA is filed under the name uncultured bacterium. Its description in RNAcentral is "partial 16S ribosomal RNA". It matches the Rfam family "Bacterial small subunit ribosomal RNA", at positions 1297 to 1500 of the family's 1533-position model. The record is from RNAcentral.